GGAAUAUUGGGCAAUGGAAGAGAUUCUGACCCAGCCAUGCCGCGUGCAGGAAGAAGGCCUUCUGGGUUGUAAACUGCUUUUACCAGGGAAGAAAACGCCCCUGCGGGGGUAACUGACGGUACCUGGUGAAUAAGCACCGGCUAACUCCGUGCCAGCAGCCGCGGUAAUACGGAGGGUGCAAGCGUUGUCCGGAUUUAUUGGGUUUAAAGGGUGCGUAGGCGGCCCGUUAAGUCAGCGGUGAAAUCCCGGGGCUCAACCCCGGAACUGCCGUUGAUACUGGCGGGCUUGAGUUCGGUCGAGGCGGGCGGAACUGGCGGUGUAGCGGUGAAAUGCUUAGAUACCGCCAAGAACCCCGAUUGCGUAGGCAGCUCGCUGGGCCGAAACUGACGCUGAGGCACGAAAGCGUGGGGAGCGAACAG
RNAcentral lists this ribosomal RNA (419 nucleotides) under uncultured bacterium. RNAcentral's name for it is "bacterial SSU rRNA". It matches the Rfam family "Bacterial small subunit ribosomal RNA", at positions 358 to 775 of the family's 1533-position model. The record is from RNAcentral.